This 61-nucleotide transfer RNA is filed under the name Bacillus sp. Soil531. RNAcentral describes it as "tRNA-Glu". It matches the Rfam family "tRNA", at positions 1 to 60 of the family's 71-position model. From Rfam's summary of the family: Transfer RNA (tRNA) molecules are approximately 80 nucleotides in length. Their secondary structure includes four short double-helical elements and three loops (D, anti-codon, and T loops). The record is from RNAcentral. Lineage: Bacteria; Bacillati; Bacillota; Bacilli; Caryophanales; Bacillaceae.
GGCCCGUUGGUCAAGCGGUUAAGACACCGCCCUUUCACGGCGGUAACACGGGUUCGAAUCC